Molecule: small RNA, 29 nt
Filed under: Bombyx mori (domestic silkworm)
Lineage: Eukaryota; Metazoa; Arthropoda; Insecta; Lepidoptera; Bombycidae
Description: ovarian small RNA-7608
Source: RNAcentral
UCGGAAUUGGUUUGAUAUCUCACACUCUC